GGUUAUGGCUCAGUGGCAGAGCGCUUGUCUAGCAUGUGUGAGGCACUGGGUUCAAACCUCAGCACCA
This 67-nucleotide transfer RNA is filed under the name Marmota monax (woodchuck). RNAcentral describes it as "tRNA.Ala". Lineage: Eukaryota; Metazoa; Chordata; Mammalia; Rodentia; Sciuridae. The record is from RNAcentral.